RNAcentral lists this microRNA precursor (102 nucleotides) under Marmota monax (woodchuck). The record is from RNAcentral. Lineage: Eukaryota; Metazoa; Chordata; Mammalia; Rodentia; Sciuridae.
AAUGGGAUAGCUGGGUCAAAUUGUGGUUCCAUUCCAGUUUUCAGAAGAAUUUCCAUAAUGCUUUUCAGAGUGGUUUCACCAAUUUGCAGUCCCAACAGCAAU